AGGAAGAGAAGCUCUGGUGUUUUUCCUCCAUCUGCGGGCCACCGCAUGACUCUAAACAAGCCGUGGGCGCGGGGAGGCGGCCCAGCAAGGUUCGGAGGCGCCGCGAGGUCAACUCAGGCUGCACGCCGGGAGCCACGCGCCGCCGGGAACUCGCAGGCACGAGCCACUCUAGGGCCCAGUCCAAGUGAGCCCAACUGGCUUACUCAUGAAUCGUCCACCUCCGUCCAGGAAAAGGGGUUCCAGAUCCUAGCAUGAUGCCAACCAGACUUCCCUGGACAGACAACCCCACCAAUGUGUCCUGGAGCUCUGCUUCCCCCAGAUCCCUUCCCCACUAGGGAAAGAGAGAUACAGGCUGGGAGUAUGGAUCGACCUGUCAAUGCCAUUGUUCAUCAGGGAAGCAAUUACAGAAGCCAGACCUUCCACCUCUGCAUCCCACAGUGACCUUGGCUCCAUACUCCCAGAGGAUUAAAGAAUAGGAAAGCUAUCAAGGGAGGGGAUGGGAUAUGGAGAGCUGCUGGUGGGAAUUGUGUGGAGUUGUGCCCCUCUUAUUCUAUGGUUUAGUCAAUGUUUCCUUUUUAUAAAUAAAAAAAAAUUUUUAAAGA
This is a long non-coding RNA of Erinaceus europaeus (western European hedgehog), 602 nucleotides long. RefSeq lists it as uncharacterized. The transcript has 2 exons. NCBI's taxonomy places the organism in Eukaryota, Metazoa, Chordata, Mammalia, Eulipotyphla, Erinaceidae. The record is from RefSeq and is a predicted model, not a curated record.